RNAcentral lists this long non-coding RNA (14290 nucleotides) under Homo sapiens (human). Its description in RNAcentral is "HSALNT0332010". Lineage: Eukaryota; Metazoa; Chordata; Mammalia; Primates; Hominidae. The record is from RNAcentral.
ACUCUCCCCAAACCUCUCUCGCACGCGGGGACUGAGCACGGCCCGAAAAGCCGAGGACAGCCGGACUCACCCUGUAGUUAUAGUAGUGCGUCUGCACAAGAUGCCGGUGGCGCGACUUGUGGUUGCCGAAGUUGGAUUUCUCGCAAACCAAGAUGGGGUCUUGCUGUGUUGCCCAGACUGGUCUCAAACUCCUGAGCUCAAGUGAUCCACCCACCGUGGCCUCCCAAAGUGCUGAGAUUAAAGGCUACCCAUGGGGACCUCAACAGCUUUGCCAUUGCACACUAUCUUUGCAGACAAGAUCUUAAUCACAUCCAACUUUCUGCAGUUGCACAGGGUACCUCAGACCCACAUCCCAGAUGACAUUCCUCAGAAGCUCGCAGCUGGAGAUGACAUCACCUUAGACAACAUCACCCUAGCCCAAGACAUCGCUAUUAGAGAUACAUCACCUGGACACUAAAGCCUCCAACCCAGUGACACUCUCAAGGUGCUGACAAAAUGGACAUGGACAUUUGUUGCUUUUCUUCUUUUGAAUUAGGAACUCUAUUGUGUUUCCUGAAUUUACUGUCUGCUUGGCCCAUGAUCCUGGUAUGUUCCUUGCUCUCUGCCAAAACAUGCACCGUCCCCUCCACACCUAAAGGAAAACCUGGUAGAAGCUACUACUCUCAAUGCCAUUCUAAAAUUGACGAAGAGUAUUAUUUUCCCCAAGAGGCAGCUGCUGCAGGCCAGUGAAUCCUCUGGACCCUGGGGAGAGGGUCAUACACUCCCUAGUGACUUCUACUGUAUGCUCCAGCUUUCCACCAGGACCUCCUGCCCUGUCCCCAACUGUAACGACCACAACCACCCCAUCCCCUUGGUUACACACAAAUAUCACCAGUCUUUACAUGUACUUUACUGACUUCUCAGAUAAUACCCUCCAACAAGAUAACUGCAGGACUUGCCACCAUGACCUGAGAAAUACACCAAGAUAUUAUUGUCCAAUUUUUUUGAGAUAUAUAUAUAUUUCUCAUACUUUUAACAUACUCUGCAAUCCACCAAGAUAUUGGUAGAGACCCUGGAAAUUUCAAAUCUAUUUCGUCUGCUAAUGCCAUGUGAAUGGGAAACUUAGAUACAGGCUGGCCUACAAGGACUCCUUAUACUUCAAUUUUUGUUCCUCCUUUCAACUCUCAUAAAAAAUAUUUUCUGUACUAUUUAGGGCAAAUGAUGGCCUUCUUUCUAAGUCUCAUCCAUCAUUGCUGCAAAGGUGCCUUAGUUUGAUGUUAAAGUGUCACAGGGCCAAUGUAUUGACCAUGUUUCUGGCGUCUAUAAAGUCGAUGUUUUAAUAUCUGUCCUACAUGCAUACACCAAACAUUCCUUGAUCUGGAAAACCCAACAGUAUGCUUUGCUUCAGCCUCAGGCCUCCCUUGUCGCCUCCUCUGUGCCACCCCCCAUUCCUCGGGAGUCCUCCUCCUCCCAGGGGCGCACUUUUCAAAUACAAACCAACCAAUCCAGAGCCCACACCCCAACCACCUCCUUUAUUGGUCUCUCACAUGCUGGGCCACUAUCCACUUUCCCUAAUCACCCAAAGUCAGGUACCAGACAAUUAGGGACAGCCCCUAUACCCCAGAGCCUGCUGAAAUUAGCAAACUGGCCAAUCCCGAGUCUGUUUACUUUGCCUUCCUGUUUCUUCCCAAGGAAAUCACAAAAAAAGGCUCUUGUCCACAGCCCCCCUCUCGCUCUGCCUCCUGCUUCCCUGUGCGGCCCUGUGGUGUGGUGCACACCUUCCUCUUGGGAACUGUGUGAAACUAUCUCCUAAUCCUCUCCGUUGGCCUUAGUAUACCUCAAAUUUUUUGUAUUGAUACACUUUUUUUUGUGGGGUUUUUUUUGUUUGUUUGUUUUUUGUUUGUGAGACGGAGUUUCACUCUUGUCUCCCAGGCUGGAGUGCAGUGGUACGAUCUUGGCUCACUGCAACCUCUGCCUCCUGGGUUCACCUGUGAUUCUCCUGCCUCGGCCUCCCGAGUAGCUGGGAUUACAGGCGCACACCACCACGCCUGGUUAAUUUUUGUGUUUUUAGUAGAGAUGGGGUUUCACCAUGUUGGCCAGGCUGGUCUCGAACUCCUGACCUCAAGUGAUCUGCCCGCCUCGGCCUCCCAAAGUGCUGGGAUUACAGGCGGGAGCCACCAUGCCCGGCUGACACACUGUUUUCUUUUAAACAGCUGGGAAACCUCUUAUCCUCAUCACCAGUGCCAGGGUCCAGCUUCAGGAGGGCAGGGCUCACCUGCUUUACUUCCAGAUCACCAUGUGCAGCGUGGAGCUUCCCUCUGACGUGUUUGUUGGAUUUGUUUCAAAAAGGCGGCCAUGGUUUCUUUUUUUCCUUCCUCGGCCCUGAUUAAUUUCAACAGAAGAAAAUGUAUCCCCUCUAGUUUGUGAUGGAAUCCAAGCUUAAUUAGCCAUUCAUGGUGCUAAACUGUCCUGCACUGGAUGACCCAAUCGCUUCUGAUUUUCCAAGCUUGGCUCUCAGACCAUCCUGGUGGAAGAAACACUAGCAGUCUGCCCAAUCUGAAUGCAAAUCCAGAAUAAUCUUUUCUUUUGUUGUUACACAGUUAUGAGUGCAAUUUUUAAAUGGCUGCUACUCUACAGCCUGCCUGCCUUAUGCUUUCUCCUGGGCACGCAGGAAAGUGAGAGCUUCCACUCCAAAGCAGAGAUCCUAGUGACACUAAGUCAGGUAAUAAUCUCUCCAGCUGGACCUCAUGCACUCACAUGGACAACACACUUCUCUCCUUCAGUGAUCAUCAUCCUUGUACCAUGUUGGUGGCAUGCUGUAAUCGUGACUCAACAUCCGGUUGCCAAUUGCUAUGUAACAAACCACCUCAACAUUCAGUGGCUUGAAUUGAAAGCAGGGUCUUGAAGAGAUAUUUGCACAUUUCAUCCUCCCAGCAGCAUUAUUCACAACAGCCAAUAGGCAGAAGCAACCCAAUGUCCAACCAUAGAUGAGUGGAUAACCAAAAUGUAGUCCAUCCAUACAAUGAAAUAUGAUUCAGCCUUAACAAGGAAGGAAGUCCCGCCACGUGCUACAACAUGGAUGGACCUUGAGGACACUAUGCUAAGUGAAGUAAGCCAGGCACAAAAGGACAAAUACUCUAUGAUUCCAUUUUAUAGGGUACCAAAGAGAAUCAAACUCACAGAGAUAGAAAGUAGACUGGGGUGGCCAGGGACUCGGGGAGAGAGGAAAGGGCAGUUAUUGUUUAAAAGGUACAGAGUUUCAGUUUGGGAAGAUGAAAAUGUUCUGGAAACGGUUAAUGGUGAUUUUACAUUGUUUAUGUUACCACGAUUUGUAAAAGAGCAGCUGCGCUGAGAAUGAGCAUGCUUGUCAUUGGCAGCUCUCUGAGAUUUUCAGUGCCUCUUACUGGCUUGUUAAGAAGACGGCAGAUUCCUCUCCCCGUCUGCUUCUUUCAUUAUAAAAUUCCCAUUUCCAUUUUGCCUCUAGGUAGAAGCUCACGGAACUCAAAUGGGAAAUGAUGAUGGCAGGAUUUUCCUGCCGAAAAGAGGUGUCUCAAAAGAAAAACAUAUUGUAUUUAACAUGGAGAAAUGAAAUCCUCCAAAGCGAGCUUUAUGAACUGAAUUACCCAGAACGGACUUACCUCUAUUGUCAGUAUUUUUCUGCUGCCCCUUUGGGCUUCUGGUGCCUGGAUAACUAAAAGAGCAGGACAUCGUGCUGCUUAGUGGGCUUUGCAGUGGGAAGCGGGAACGUCUACCUGCAUGAGCACGGGGCACUCUGCCCAGAGCUUGGGCACAUUCCCCUAGGCACAGGAGUAAGGAAGAAGUCUCCAGUGUAGGUUAGGAAAUAGGCCUUCAGCAUGAGCUUACCACAGCUUUUUUAAGGAAAAAAUUAGUGGCUUAAAAUAAUAUUCCACUUUUUUUUUUUUGAGAUGGAGUCUCACUCCGUUUCCCACGCUGCAGUGCAGUGGUGCAAUCUCAGCUCACUGCAAGCUCUGCCUCCUGGGUUCACGCCAUUCUCCUGCCUCAGCCUCCCGAGUAGCUGGGACUACAGGUGCCCGCCACCACACCCGGCUAAUUUUUUGUAUUUUUAGUAGAGACGGGGUUUCACCGUGUUAGCCAGGAUGAUCUCGAUCUCCUGACCUCGUGAUCCACCCGCCUCGGCCUCCCAAAGUGCUGGGAUUACAGAUAUUCCACUAUUUUUUAUCAUAAUUGUGUGGACUGACUGGAUUCAGCUGGGUGAUUUGCACUCGGAGUCUCUCGCGUGGCUGCCGUCUUCUGAAGGCUGGACGUCCCACAUGGCUUCUUUACUAAUACAUCUGGUGCUUCAGCUGGGACAGCUGGGACAGCUGGCGGCUGCACAGGCAUCUCGCUCUUUGCACACAGGCUCCCCAUAUGCUUAGUUUGAGCUUGGUGAUUUUAAAGUAGUUGAACUUAGAUGGCAGCUGGCUUCCCUCAGAGUAAAUAUGCCAAGAUACCCAGGUGGAAGCUGUAAGGUUUCUAAUGACCUAGUCUGAGAUUUCACACCAAGAUGGCUUCCGUCAUAUUCUGUUGGUCAAAAAUAAGCCACACGGUGGGGCAUGGUAGCACACACCUGUAACGCCAACACUUUGGGAGGCCAAGAAGGGUGGAUCGCUUGAGCCCAGGAGUUCGAGACCAGCCCGGGCAACAUGGUGAAACCCCGUCUCUACAAAAGAAUACAAAAAUUAGCUGGGCAUGUUGGCACACCUCUGUGGUCUCAGCUACUUGGGAGGCUGCGGUGGGAGAAUCUCCUGAGCCCAGGGAAGUUGAGGUUUCAGUAAGCCAUGAUCAUGCCACUGCACUCCAGUCUGGGUGACAGACUGAGACCCUAUCUCAAAAAAAAUAAAAGCUACAGGUCAACCCAGAUUCAAGGGGAUAGGAUUACACAAAGUCACAGAUUCAGGAAGGUAUAAUUUAUUGGGGAACCGUCUUUGGAGACUAGCUACCACAAUCUGUCACCAUCUUUUAGAUAAGACGAUCAACAUAUUUCUGAGUAUACUUUAGAUUUCCACUAUCAGUGCAUUUUCUGAAACUUCCCCAGUCUUAGCACUGAAGGUCCUGCACCCCAGGAAAUAUCUAUCAGUCUUUGUCAAACCAGGAUGGUUGGUCACCCUACUUUUAGACCUCCUCAUUUUCAUGAACUCAAUAUUGCAUAAGGUUGAUCUUCCAAAAACAUGUAUCUGCCUUAAAAUUGUGAUUUCCAUCCUGAUGAGGUCUCCUCAUAUUCCUUUGUCUUUCUGGUUUGUAUAGGAUCCACUUGACUUCAGAGCUGUAGAAAUCCAAUAAUAUGGCAGUGAUGAUGCAUUCUUUUAUUGGCCCACAGUUAUUAUUUUAAUCCAAGAUACAGCUGAACACCAUAUCUUAGAUCUAAACUCUCAUACAAUAAGCCUUAAAAUGUAACUAAUAUAAAUCUGGGAGUUCAUAUGACCCUGCCUUGGUGGGAGUGACAUAUUCAAAAAACCAACAAUUUGACAAAAAAUAUAACCUAAAAACAAUUCAAGUUGUAUUUGGACUGUGAACACCAAUACGGUAUUAGUGUUAAUACAUACAUGCUUGUUACCUUAUUACAAUAGCAUAAAAUAUCACAAAGUAGAAAGAGUUCUGGGUAGACAGGAGUCCUGCUGAGUAGCUCUGUGCCCUGGGUGGGGGUUAUGAGGAAGGGUUCCCAGGUCUGCUUCCUCCACCCUGAGGUCACCAUUAAAGUUGGAAGAUGACUUAAAAAUCAGACAGCAUCAAUCCCCUUCAAUAGUUUUCUAUGGUGUAUGUGUUCAUUAAAUUCUGGGUCAUUGAACGGUCAUGGAUAACCUUAAUCUCUCUUAGCCUCAAUGUCUACUAACAUAGUUCAUAUUCUGUUAAAGUUAUGAGCAUUCGUAUUCUAAGAUUUGUAUUGAAUAUAGAUGAUAGAUUAAAAUUUUAGUGACAAAUCUUGAUGAUUCUGUAGGAACUUUUCCAUGUGAUAAAUCUUCUUUUCAUGCUAUCUUGGCUUCAGCAGAAUGGCAACAUUACAUUUAAAGACAGGCUUUGACACUUUGUGGUGUGUGUGUGUGUGUGUGUGUGUGUGUGUGUGUGUGUGUGUGUUUGGAGGCUCCCUCUCUGUUGCCCAGGCUGGAUUGCAGUGACGUGAUCAUAUUCACUGAAACCUCCAAUUCCUGGGCUCAAGUGAGCCUCCCACCUCAGCCUUCCAAGUAGCUGGGACUACUGGCGCAUGACACCAUGCCCACAUCAUUUUCUUAUUUUUUGUAGAAACAGGGUUGGUUGCCCAGGCUGGUCUUGAACUAUGUUGCUCAGGCUGCUCUUGAACUACGUUGCCCAGGCUGGUCUUGAACUCAAGUGAUCCUACCAAAGAGCUGGGAUUACAGGUGUGAGUCAACAUGCCCAGCCCUUGUGUUUCCAUUAAUGCAUUCUAUGCUGUCCAUCACAGAUCCCUACUUCACCUCAUCACUUUUUGCUUCAGAGCCCCAUGUGUACAAUGAUUCAUGGAGGCAUAUAGCAGCUCACAGGAGGGUAGGUGUAGCCAAGUAGUAUGUACCUAAAGUGAGGAGAGCAAUUGCAUAAAGAAACGUAAAUAAUGGUUUGAAUGGGGCAAUGGGAAGGGAAAGAAAGCCAAUUGUUCCUCUGAGCUUGUGGGACUUGGAAAUAAAUGUGGAAGAAUUAGCAGGACUUGUUCCAGAGGGCUGCAAGGGAGUCAGUGCACUCAGGGAGAGCCAGAAGAUAGAGUAGACUUUUAGGGAGGAAGUUGGGAUAAACCUUGGGAACAAAGAGGGCUUUAAUUACAGUGUAAGAAAGAUUUGGGAGGAGUCACUGCAGAGGAAGAUUGGGAAAGGGGAUGGCAGUGGAAGGACAAGCAGAAUGAGGUAGUAAAGGUCUCAUGGGCAUGACCGCUGUGAGACAGACCUGGUAUUGGUCAGGACCACCUUCACUUCCAUCCCUGGUCCCAAGAGCAGCUAUGCUACUGGAGUGAGAAGCUGCAUCCUCUUCUCCAGAGAUAACAUAGAGCCCCCUACCACCACCCAAAUUGAGAGCUGAGGAUGGGCGGAUGGGCUCUCCAUUGGACUCUGAAGGCACUGCCAAAUUAAUAUCCUAUCCUCAGAUGACCCAACUACUGGGAGCACAAGCUUCUUCUCUAGGUCAACUAAUAGUCAUGACAUACUGUCCUUGAGUCUUCCCUGCAUCCUGCCACCCCCAGGAAACCAUGCCAUGACAAAAGAGCACAGUACUAGUUGAGGUCAUAGAUAUUAGAAUUAGUAGGACCUGACAUUUGGCAGUUAAGGAACCCUUAAUAGGUAAGUUAUUCAUUGUUUUAACCCUCAGUUUCCUCAUCUGUAACAUAAUAACAGCUCAUUAUAACAGUACAUAGCCUCCUUGAGUGAGAAACUAAAUUGAAUUCCUUCUCCUGGUUUGGUUUGGGCAGUGUCAUUUUUUUUUUUUUUGGAGACAGAGUCUUGCUUUGUCACCCAGACUGGAGUGCAUUGGUGCAAUCUUGGCUCACUGCAACCUCCACCUCCCGGGUUCAAACGAUUCUCCUGUCUCAGCCUCCCCAGUAGUUGGGAUUAUAGGCGUGCACCACCAUCCCUGGCUAAUUUUUGUAUUUUUAGUAGAGACGGGGUUUCAUCAUGUUGGCCAGGUUGGUCUUGAACUCCUGACCUCGUGAGCUGCCUGCCUCGGCCUCUUGAAGUGCUGGGAUUACAGGCAUAAGCCACCAUGCCCGGCCUGGGCAGUGUCAUUCUUCUAGAAUAUGAAGGCAUUGGCUUUUCAGCCAUAGACAUCCAAAUCCUGCACUAAGAAGCACUCUGAUGUUCGACAUUCAAGAAGAUGGCAGCGUAGAAGCAUCAGGAAUCCAUUUCCCCAUUUGGACAACAAUUGCACUGGCAGGAUCUCUCAAAUGUAACUAUUUUGGAACUUUGGUGUCUACUGAAGGCUUGCAACAUCCAGGGGAAGACUUGGGUGGUAAAUUGUGGUUGAUUUUGGCUAAUUUUAGCUCUUAGCUCAGUAGCAGCUGUCACCCACCAGCCAGGCAAACAGCUAUGCAUGUGUGCCUGAGGCAGCUUGCAAAAAGCUUGAAGGAGCCAAGGUGGGUGUAAGGACCCUAUCCUCCAAAUAAUGGGGAUCUUUGCUGUGAUUGCUAAUUGCUGCUUCUGGUUAUGGAGGUGUAGACACGGAGGUGAGCAGCAUUGCUGCAACCAUCAUUUGCACUUUUACAAUCCUCAUCUCUUUGGCUGAAGCAACUUCCAGGGGAAUUAAAGGGCCAGCACCUGUUUUUGGAGCCUGCUCUUUUUUUUCUUCUUUAUUUUUCCUUUAUUACCCUUUUGGAAUAAAAUAUUUAAGAACUAGGACAUCAACAACAACAACAUAUACAGAGGCAUUUGGAAAGUCAUCACACAAGCCUAGGGAAAGGUGCAGGCUCAAAAAAAGAUCUGAGAAGACCUUAAGUUUACAGUUAAGGCUGAACUUUGGCAGACAGACACCCUACCAAGGCAGAGAGUUACAGAGUUACAUAUUAUAAGAUUCCAAUGUCCAGUUUUCAGCAAAAAAAUCACAAAGCAUACAAACAGAAAAGUAUAACAGAUUUUUAAAAAUCAAUGGAAACCAUCUGUGAGAAAGACUAGAUGGUAGACUUACUAAACAAAGAGUUUAAAACAAUUAUCUUAAAGAUGCUCAAAGAGCUUGAAGAUGUAGACAAAAGUCAAGAAAACGUAUGAACAAAAUGGAAAUAUCAAUAAAGAGACAGAAAACACAAAAAGGAACUAAAGGAGCUAAAAAGUACAAUAACAAAUGAAAUUUUCACUAGAGGACUCAAAAACAGAUUUGAACAGGCAAAAGAAAGAAUAAGUGAACAUGAAGAUAGAACAAUUGAAUUCUUGACUCUGAGGACUUGAAGGCCAAAAAGAUUACAGAAAAGUGACCAGAGCCUUAGGAACCUCUGGCACAUCAUGAAGUAAACCAACAUAUACAUUGUUGAGGUUCCAGAAGGAGAAGACAAAGAAAAAGGGGCAAAGAGAUUAUUUGAAUAAAUAGUGGUUAAAAACUUCCAAAAUAUGAUAAAGACAUGAACAUAAAUAUGAACAUGAACAUAAAUUCAAGAAGCUCAAUGAUCUCAAAAGACCCACACCAAGACACAUUAUACUCAAACUGUCAAGACAAAGGAAGAAUCUUGAAAGCAACAAGAAAGAAAUGACUCAUCCCAUACACCGAAUCCCUGGGAAGGUAAGCAGAUUUCUCAUCAGAAACCUUGGAGAGGCCAGAAGGCAGUGAGUUGAUACAUUCAGAGUGCUGAGGCAGGAAAAAACAAACAAAACAAAACAAAAGUGUUGACCAAGAAUGUUAUAUCCAGCAAAACUAUCCUUUAAAAAUGAGGAAGAAAUUAAGACAUUCCCAGAUAAACAAAAGCUGAGGGAGUUUGUUACCACUAGACCUGCUGUCUUAGUCUGUUGUGUGUUGCUAUAAAGAAUGCCUGUUGCUAGGUAAUUUUUUUUAAUGAAAAAAGAAGUUUAUUUGGCUUAGGAUUCUCAUGUCUGGAAAAGUUCAAGAUUGGGCAUCUAACAAAGGCAUCAGGCUGCUUCCACUCAUGGCAGAAGGUGAAGGGGAGCCGGGAAGUGCAGAGAUCACAUGGUGAGAGAGGAAGCAAGAGAGGUAGCAGGGAGAUACCAGGCUCUUUUUAACAACCAACUCUCAUGGGAGCUAAUAGACUGAGAACUCACCCUCCCUGUGACUGUGUGGGUAUUAAUCUAUUCAUGAAGUGUCUGCCUCCAUAACCCAAACACUUCCCAUUAGGCCUCACUUCCCAGCACCACCACACCAGGGAUUGAAUUUCAACAAGAGGUUUGGAGGAGUCAAACAUCCAAACUGUAGCACCUGCCUUGCAAGAAGGGAGUUCUUUAGGUUGAAAUGAAAGGGCACUAAACAGUAACUCAAAGCUAUAUGAAAAAUAAAGAUCUCUGGCAAAAGUAAAUAUAUAAACAAUUAUAAAAUAGUAUUAUUGCAACUUUGAUUUGUUACUUCCACUUUUUAUUUUCUACAUGAUUCAAGAGAGUAAUGUAUUUAAAAACUUAUUAGUUUAUAUUUCAGGUGACACAAUGCACAAAGAUGUCAUUUUGUGAUAUCAAUAGCUGAAAGGGGGUAGGAGCAGAGCUGCAUAGAAGCAGAAUAUUUGUAUGCUCUUGAAGUUAAGCUGGUAUAAAUUCAAACUACAGUGUAUGCCUUUUUUUUGUUUUUUGUUUUGUAGAGAUAGCAUCUCACUAUGUUGCCCAGGCUGUUCUCAAACUCCUGGCCUCAAGUGAUUGUCCUGCCUUGGCCUCCCAAAGUGCUACAAUUACAGGCAGGUGUAAGCCAUCAUGUCUGGCCCAGUGUAUAACUUCAGGAAGGUAGUUUUAAAGAUGAAAAAUAUUCUAGAGAUGGAUGGUGGUGACAGUUACAUAAUAAUGCGAAUGUACAUAAUGCCACUGAACUGUACACUGAAAAUGGUUAUAUAAUAGUUAAUUUUAUGUUAUGCAUAUUUACAAUCUUGAAAAAUAAUUUUUAAAAAAUUAAAGAAGAGGCAGCUUAUGCUGUCUAAGGAGCCCCUUUUUCUACCUGCACUCUCUAUGCUUCACUCCUACUCACUUCACUUUUGAGGAGGAGCAUGUACACUCAUUUUUGAACUUGCUCUCAUUAACUGAUUCUUCUUUCUAAAGGAUAAUGCUUUUUCUUUCUCUCACUUUUGGUUAUUACUAGUGAAGACCAGUUACUGUCUCUUAUAUUAUGGAGCCAUGCAAACUAAAAAACAUAUUAUGAUUAUGUAUAAUAGAAAGAAAGGCAAGAUAUUUUUACUUCCCUUGGUGCUAUGUAGUACUUGUUGUUUUGGAUAUGAAAUGGUUAAGCAGUCAUCCCCUUGGAAGCUCUGCAGAAAGUGGGGAUGGGGGAUUUUUUUAGAUGAUUUUAAACAGGAAAUGCCAUGAUGAUCUGUUUCCACCAGAAUGGGUUUUUAUGUUCAGCUCUUACUCUAAAUCAGGAAGUUCUUGUUCCUGCCAGAAAGUGAGACAGAUAAACCCUUUCCUCUACUGCAGCCCACUAACAGUUCCACAGAGCACAGGAUCCAGAAAAUGGAAAUGGCUGGGUAUAGGGUAAAGUAUCUGACCCUACCUCAGGGCCAUGAAUAUGGGGCUGGGGAGCAAGGAGAGAAGACAGGGAUAGAGAAGCAGAGGGAGGAACAUGGGAGCAGAAGAGGGAGAGAUGGAAAGAGAAAGAAAACUGGUGAGGUGGCUUGCACUCGUAGUUCCAGCUACUUGGGAGGCUGAGGCAGGAGGAUCACUUGAGCCCCAGAAGUUUGAGGCUGCAGCGAGCUAUAAUCCUGCCAUUGCACUCCAGCCUGGGUGACAGAAUGAAAUCCUGUCUCUUGCAAAAAAAAAAAGAAAGAAAGAAAGAAAGAAAAGAAAUUGGACAUUAAAACCAGAAUCCCUAGGAAAUUAUUUCUAGUAUUUUUGUAUUGUUUCCAAGUUAACUGUACAGACAAUUGUAAGUAAUAGGUCUGUAUGGAGGAAUCUCAGCCAGUUUCAAAGACUCUCUUUGUUGCCUUCAUGAAGUCCCAAGGUAAGUAACCUAUCAAGCAUAUAUACAUUCACUGGGUGCCUUCUGCCUAUUACAGUAAAAAAAGCUAGAACUCAUUCUGCCCCAAAACAGGUAAAGAGGCUCCCAGAAUGUAUUUUAAUUGAACUUAAGAUAGUCUGGUUAUUCUACAAAUUCUGAGAGUAACACCUGUGCUCUUGCUGACUCACCACCAGCAGAAAAUGAUUAAGAUGGCUAUUUACAGGGUACACAAUGUUUUCUAGCUUAAUUAGCCUCUUACCUUCAUCCAGGAACUAACGCCAGAUGCCUCUGUCCUCAUGGCAGUCACCUGGCCAUGACCAGAAUCCCAGUUUGAGUGUCUCUGCAGGGAGGAAGAAAAGGGGUGGGAAAGGAAGGAAAGACAUCACUAUUUAUCAAAUGAAUGCCUUGUCCCUGGCACUGUGCUUCCACAUAUGUUCCUGAUUAAUUGUCCCAACAACUCUGAGAGGUCGGUGUUAGUAUGUUCAGUUUCCAGAUGUGGAAACAGAGGCUUAAGGACUUGGAGUAAUUUACUCAAGAUCCCAGAGUCAGGAGAGAGGGAAGCCAAAAUUGCAACUGUCCUGCUCCAGUGUGCAUGGUCUUUUCAUGGGAGGUUUGUGCAAACAACACCAAAUCCUAAGCCUUUACUCUCAGCUUCCAAUCAUGCAGAGUAUUUCCUGACAAAUUCCUGGUAACAGCAUUAUUCUACAGCAUGCCCCGGGAGUCUUGGGAGUCAUACUUGGUUACGAGAAGUGCAAAACAAAAAUAAAACUCUAAGCGCCCCCAACCAACUGAAUGGAUCCCUCUCUUGGCCAAGAAGGAUUCCAAAAAAUACCUGAAAAACCACAUCAGCCCAUGAUGGGAAGGAGGAGUCAGACUUACCUCCUUCUACUGUCUUCCCUUUGGAGUUUAGACGUGACUGACCAACAUUAACAUUGACUCAGAGACCUUAAGACUGAAAAAACAGACUCUUUGUAGCAAUAACAUACCACAUUCCAACCUGACUCUGGUAUGGAAUCACAUGACGGAUAUCAGGCCCUGAAAGAAAUGGCAGUAUUUUAUCCCAAAAUAUAUUCCCUUGACAUAUUUUGAAAUGACCCUGAAAACCUGUCUCUUGUGGGGGAAAUUUGCUUUCUAUAGAGAAUCUUCUUCCCUUAUUAGGCCUUUUCUGGAGAGUCUGACACCUUUUAGGGUCAGACAAGAGACAUUCACUGCUUAUUCUCUCUGAAACCUGCUAUUUGGAGGCUUCAUCUACAUGACAAGAACCUUGGCUUAAGCUCCAGCUUAACUCUUUCAACCAAUUGCCAGUCAGGAAAUCUUUGAAUCCACCUAUGACCUCGAAGACCCUGCUUCGAGAAGUCCUGCCUUUCUGGGUUGACCCAAUGUAUACCUUACAUGUAUUCAUUUAUGUAUUUCCCUGGUAACUUCUGUCUCCCUAGAAGGUAUAAAACCAAGCUGUAACCCAGCCACCUUGGGCACAUGUUCUCAGGACCUCCUGAGGCUGUGUCACUGGCCAUGGUCCUUAACCUUGGCAAAAUAAACCUCUAAAUUAAUUGAGAUAAGUCUCAAAUACGUUCUGGUUUACAGAAGAAAAGUAGAAAUGGGAGUAAGAGUAGGCCAAAGAAGAGAAGAAUGGACACGGUUUCACCCUGAUGAAGUCACUGUGCCUAGUAAUAUCUCAGACCUGUGAUUAUUACAUUGCCUGGCCAAAUAGGACACGUUCCUCAAGAUUAGGCUCAAAUGCUACCUAAUAUCUGUCCCACUUCAUACUCCCCACCCUGGAAUCCUCUUGGCUCAGUUAAAAGUGUUUCACGUUCUUGACUGGUAUCUCCAGACUGAAUAUACCUUCACUCUACCCUCCACCCCUAAACCACUCAGGUCCAGAGAUAGUUUCUAAGUGGGAGAAAGGAUCCUUAGCUAAGACAUCUCUGGUCCCCAUGCCAGAAUCUACUCAGAGGGUCAGUUUGUGGCUUCCCUUCAGUGGGGCUUGAGAGACAGGGCCAAAGGGACUCACCAACAUAACCUUGAAACAGUUAAAAACCACGUGCACCCUGCCAGAUAGACCUACUAGAAUCUCAGGCCAGUGGUUAUUCAAGUUUUUGGUCUUUGGAUCUCCUUCCUUCUUUCCUUCCUUCCCUCUUUCUUUUCUUUUCUUUCUUUCUCUCUCUUUCUUUCAUCUCUCUUUCUCUUUCUUUUUAUUAUUAGAGACAGGGUCUUGCUAUGUUGCCCAGGCUGAAAUGCAGUGGCUAUUCAACAAGUGCCAUCUUAGCCUCCUGAGCACAAGCAAUCCUCCCACCCACUUAGUCUCUUGAGUAGCUGGGACUACAGACACAUGCCACCGUGCCUGCCUGGCUUUUUUGCAAAUCUUUUUAAUGAUUGGCUUUUUAAAAAACAGUUGGAUCCUCAUAUCUACUUCUGCAUUCAACCAGUUGUGAUAUGUUUUCUGCUUGAAGGAUAUGAAGAAAAUCCAGCCUCGGAUAGAUAAAUAGUUGGAAAAGGAAAGAGUGUCUUUAAUGGCCUUUUCAGAAGACUGUAGACAUUCUUCUUUGAUAUGACACCAAGACUAAACUGGAUGUCAUUUCUUUAAGGUAGUUGCAAUAUGGAAUCUGAAACCUUAUUGUCAAACUGUCCACACUAUGUUACAUUACAGUCAGUUUAUCUUGCACUUUAAGCGGAUCUUUUACCUAUGCAUAGUCUUGUAACAUUUUGCAUUGAUCAUUUGGAAAAUAUGGUUCAC